Long non-coding RNA from Parus major (Great Tit), 4371 nucleotides. RefSeq lists it as uncharacterized. The record is from RefSeq and is a predicted model, not a curated record. Lineage: Eukaryota; Metazoa; Chordata; Aves; Passeriformes; Paridae. The transcript has 2 exons.
AACCCGACUCUUUUACUUUCAUUCUACGGGAAAAAAGAGAUAAAAAAGCGAAACUGGGAAUUUCCCCAGCCGUCACCAGGGGUUUAAAAGGCACCGGGCAGCACCGCGCCGGCAGAGCCGGAGAGACGGCGGGGCCGGCGGCCGGGAGCCAGUGGAGCAGCUGCCCUUGGAUGGGUUGUGGAAGGCGGGACUGCCAAGAGCGCUCUCUCUCCGGUCAAGGGUUACCCCAGGCUGUUGGCAUGGGCUCAGAAGCGAAAGGUGAAUGGUUUCGCAGAGUUCUCGUUUACACCCUUUCCCCUCCCCACCCCCACCCUUCCCCUGCAAAAUCAUUUUGUGGAAUCCAAAAGGACAAAGAAAGGAUGGUGAAUGGCUCAGGAGGGGGUUUCCAGCCUGGAAGAUACCAAACUUCUAAAAGGAAAACCUGUAGAAGGAUGUGUUUUGCUAGGUAAAUUCAGAAUGCAAAAUUUUUCAAGUGCAAUUCAAAAGGCUUGGAAUAAAACAGAAUAAGAAAUAUCUUAGUAGUGUCCCCUUCACAUGUCCUGCCCAGAGACUUUCUGAUUUUAAGUUCUACGUCACUUUUCCUGCUCUGCACGAGAACAGAGAGCUGACUCCAUAACCCCUCUUUCCUCUCACAAGAGUGCUUUUCCAAGGGGAGACAGAUACUGAGGUGUGAAUAUCAAGGAGAAAAUAUGUGAAAUGCUCAGGAUAGUUUCCUCCCAUUCUCUUGAAAUGAAAUUGUACUGCUUCCUUCUUGUGUGAAGAGGUCCCUAGUCUCCUUUAUUGUCUGUGAAUUAGACUCUGCUUUAGAUUUGCUAUACAUUUCUCAUUUAUUUUUCUUUGAAAAAUAAUUUAAUCAGAAGUAUUCUGAAGUGAUCAGUUUUCAACCCCUUCAGCUUUGAGCUGCUUGAUUUUAUUAAUGAUUACCCAUGACUAUGCUUUGGGCAAAUAAUAGGGAUCAAUAUCAAGACAGUUCCACACAAGGAGCACCUGUGCUUGCUUUUUCCUUAAGUGAGUGGCAGCUUGGAUGUGAUGUAUUGUUCAGUUCUUGAAUGUGAACAACGAUUUUGCCUCAUUAAUGGCUAAAUUAUCUAGUUCUUAUUGUGCCUUAUGUUGUCACUUUUUUGCUUAUUUUCAUUUACUGUUUUCUUUUUGCUCUUCUGUCGAAUAUUUUCUGAAAACAUCUUUGUGCAUUUCAGUUUGCGGGCAUGUGCAGCUCUGAGAAUGCCACAGGACUCUUCUUUUGGGGGAUUAAUACCUGGUGUAAUGCAAGCAAAUUUUUGACUAUCUCUUCUACAGUGUGGUACUUGAAGACUUGCACUUUCAAUAGUCAAAUGUUUUGAAAAAUACGCACUAUGAAGCUGCAGUCUGGCAAAACUAUCACCAAGACCAAAUUUCCUUCUAAGAAACUUUCCUUCUAGUAGUUAUUCCAAUUUCUUACAUUAGUACAUGUGUGUUCACAAAAUGAGAUAGUAUAUGCAGAUUGUCAGGGUGCAAAAUAUAAAGGAAAAACUUUUUUAGCUGCUUUGUUAAUGUUAGUUUUAUGGCUGAAACAUCAGGAAGACUGAUAAUUAGUUCAAUUUAAUUUUUUAAUUUAAAUAAUGUAAUUGAUGGAAGAAGUCAGCAUAGUAGCUUAAUGCAUUAAUGUAAACAUGACUGAAAGAUGAUGCUGAAGUCUUGUAAUAAGAAUUUUGCUCUUUCCUCCAAUUUUGCUCUUUCCUUCAGUAGCGGCAGGACUUUAUUUUAUUUUAUUUUUAAGAUAAAAAGUCUGGUAACGCAUAGGAAACUUUUUCUUCAGUCAAAGUGACAAAUAGAUGUUGUGAUCUGUGCUAUGCCCCAUAUCACGUGUUUAGAUGCCAAUCAAUCCCUCUUAUGUGACCUAACCCUGGACCAUGGCAUAAACUUUAGAUGAAGAUAUUAUUUGAUAUAUUUGUAUGUAGAAGGUGCUUAAAUAUUCCAACUUUGUCUGCUUUUAAAAAUAUCUUGAAUCACUAUAUGAAUUUUAUUUUCCAAGUGUUUCUUUUCAUGAUUUAGCAAUAUUUUGGGUUUUUUUCCUGAAAAGGCUACCUGCCAGAAGAUCAAAUUCAAGUGUUCAGAAGUGUACUGUAUUUUUUAAAGGAAAAAACAAACACCAGCCAGUUGAAAAAUUAAAAGAUGGAAUUUAAAAUCUAUUAUGUGAAUAUCAUCUUCACAAGCUGUUUUAAUCAAGAAAUCAUUAAAAGAGUCCUGAACAUGUAAAAGCCUAUCCCAGCUGAGUUUUACCUUGUUUAAAUGACUGGUAUCACUUUGCCUGUUUUGAAAAAUACAGUUGAUGCUGAGCUGUAAUAGACACCUCUCCCUCUGGAGUGGAAUUGAGCUGCAGCUUGUCUGGGGCAUUUGUAGCAGAAUAAAACUGAAAUAUUUCUGUAGAAUUUCCGAGACAUUAGGUGUCCCACUUCAUUUUCAUGCCUUGAGAAUUUACAGCUGACUGAUUUAAUAGGAGAUAUAUUAGCCUUAUUAUGUAGAUAAUUGGACUAAGAUUCCAAAUAAGCAAUCUCUGGAAAGAUGUAGUCCAAUGCAGGGCAUUGCUGCAAAUGUGUGUAGUUUUCUCUUUCGCAUUAUUUUUGACAAGAACUUUUUAAACCAUAAAAGAGGGUACCACAAAUUGUGUAUCUAACAACUGAAAGGCACUGGUAAUUUAUAGCUAUUCUUGUAUGACCAUAUUUCACAUUCAAUACAUAUUCUGAGGACAAUUUCUCUAAACGUGUUUAAAUUUAGAGAUCCAACUGUCACCUGACGUGGUCAAAUUUAUUCUUAGAAAAGCAGGUAUUACAUAUUAACCUCCACCAGAAUACUAAUAUUGCUACAUGAGAACUACAUGAUUGCAAAGCAUAUCACUUCUUGUUAAGAUUCCGUUCUCCAAAGACCAAAUACUUCUGGGAUUGUUGCUGUCUUUCUCCAGCUGUUGCUUGUCGACUUGAACAGCUCUUUUGAUCAUGACUUUAGAUUUGACUUAAGCUACUUGAAAAUUUACAGUACCAUUAGUGAAUUAUUGUAUUAUUUAAUAAAGUUUAAAAGUUAUAAAUAUUUUUAUGUCAUUUUGGAAUAAAAUGUAUGUGCACCAGUUGUCACAAACCAGUGGAACUCAGGAAAGUGUGACCACAUUUAUGCUCUUAUUUUUAAGAACAAAUAUGUCUAAUACUUAAAUUUUUCUCAACUGACUGGGGGGGGGGUGGGGAAAAAAAAAGAAACAUAUUCCCCCCUACUCCUUCCACUAAAUAAAUCUGAACCCACAAGAGAAUCCUUAUUUAACUGGGAUUCAGAGUCAUGUUUAUUGUGCACACAAAACUCUCACUGACACUCAGCUGUGGGAAGUUCUAAUCUUCUGCUGUAUUUAGGCAAAACCAAGGGACCUAAUAUUAACACUGCACUAGAACACCCACUUUUAAAUAAUUAUUGUUGCUACUUUUUGUGUACAAAUCUUUUGGUCUGAUACUGUGGUGAGUGCUGAAAAAACCACAGGAACUGAUUGAUAAACUGUUUUUAACAUGGAAUUAUAUCUCAUGUUCAUUCAAGUGUAAUGGAUGCAUCUCUUUUUCUUUGAGAAUUUUCUUUUUAGAAUUAAAAAAAGAACAAAAAUAUUUCUGGAAAACUAUUAAGAUUUGUUUAAGUGUGGGAAACUCAGAGGAAUGUUUCAUUAUCAAGCUGCAGAAUGGUAGUAGUUAUUACUUUCUCUUCCUGUCUUGCUGUGCAGGAAGAUGCCAAUAAAGAUUUUAUCAAGAGCAAUGUGCCAAAUGAGGCUAUUUUGAGAAGGCACCACCAGGAAGGGGAGGUCUCCCUGGAGCAGCAGUGUUGAGGAGAUGGUGGCAAUCAGGUUGGUGGCCCCAGAGCUGGGCAUGGAUCAGGCUUUGUCCCUGUUUCCAUCAGGCCCCAGCAGUGUCUGGGUGUGCUGCUGGAGCCGGGGCCGUGCCUGGAACCCAGCAGGGACCGUGCCCCUGGCUCACAGCCCCUGCCCUCCUCACCCCGCCGAGCUCUCAGCUCAGGCUGGCUUGUUUCGGUGCCUCAAUGAGCCUGAACAUGGGAAAAAUUAAUAUUUCAGCGGGAAAAAUGAUAAAAUCCCGUUCCUGCUUUAGUGAGGCACAGAAGAAAGAAGGGGUUGGGUGUUGGUUUCUGUCAAUGCAUAUUCUUUUACUUUUCCUACUUUAGCAAGUGCCUUUUUUAGGGAAGACAGGAGGUCUGGUAACAACAAUAAUCUUUGCACAUAUUAGCCCAUAUUGAAAUAAUGACAAUUUCACUGCAUUUCAGGGUCAUGAAAUUUCCUUUGGGUUUGGUGUUGUGUUCUGAAGAGUUUAUUUUCCAAACUUAUAAUAAAAUAGUUUUUAUGAUUUGAGUGAA